Molecule: ribosomal RNA, 250 nt
Filed under: uncultured bacterium
Lineage: Bacteria
Description: partial 16S ribosomal RNA
Rfam family: Bacterial small subunit ribosomal RNA
Source: RNAcentral
UACGUAGGGUGCGAGCGUUAAUCGGAAUUACUGGGCGUAAAGCGUGCGCAGGCGGAUUGUUAAGCAAGAUGUGAAAUCCCCGGGCUUAACCUGGGAAUGGCAUUUUGAACUGGCAGUCUAGAGUGCGUCAGAGGGGGGUGGAAUUCCACGUGUAGCAGUGAAAUGCGUAGAGAUGUGGAGGAACACCAAUGGCGAAGGCAGCCCCCUGGGAUGACACUGACGCUCAUGUACGAAAGCGUGGGUAGCAAAC